ACUAAAAAUAAUGAGGGUAAAUUGUAAUGCUAAAAUGAAGGAGAAAAAAGUCUUUUGAAGUAUUGCCCUGUGGGACUUGCUUAGACUAGUUCAGUCAGGUUUGGGAAGCAUUAGAAGACGGAGGAUGUGAAAAUGCAGAGAAUCUGGGUUCUGACAUGAGGGAAAAAGCACACCACCCGUCUGAUCACUGACAGAUGUAAAGCUGAGCAAGACAGGGGUAAACCCUCCAAAGGAUUUUGAUGUGGAAACCAUGUGACAAGCAGGAGGAAGCACCAGGGAACAUGCCUGCAUACUGCUUUACCUCUCUGUGGCAAUGGUACAUUGCAUGGGGUGGUUUGCCCUGCUUUACCCAAGUGUGAAAGGCUGGACUUACCCUCACUGAAGAGCUUGCUUUUUCUGAGGAGAUGGGGAUGGAUUCAAGCUUACAUUCCUCCGGGAGCAGAGUCAGACUUUUUGACUGUCCUAGGGACUUUGCAAGAGUGGCCUGUACCUCUUCUCUGUUUUUUUCCCUUUUCAGUCUACUUAAAUCAAAGGUUUCUCACAUAAUCA
Cygnus olor (mute swan) is the source of this 549-nucleotide long non-coding RNA. RefSeq lists it as uncharacterized. The record is from RefSeq and is a predicted model, not a curated record. Lineage: Eukaryota; Metazoa; Chordata; Aves; Anseriformes; Anatidae. The transcript is spliced from 2 exons.